Molecule: ribosomal RNA, 253 nt
Filed under: uncultured bacterium
Lineage: Bacteria
Description: partial 16S ribosomal RNA
Rfam family: Bacterial small subunit ribosomal RNA
Source: RNAcentral
AACGUAGGUGGCAAGCGUUAUCCGGAAUUACUGGGCGUAAAGCGUGCGCAGGCGGUUAUGUAAGACAGAUGUGAAAUGCCCGGGCUUAACCUGGGAACUGCAUUUGUGACUGCAUGGCUAGAGUUUGGCAGAGGGGGGUAGAAUUCCACGUGUAGCAGUGAAAUGCGUAGAUAUGUGGAGGAACACCGAUGGCGAAGGCAGCCCCCUGGGUCAAGACUGACGCUCAUGCACGAAAGCGUGGGGAGCAAACAGG